UGGCAUUUUGUUGAAAAUGCAGACUUCUUAGUCUGACUGCAAUCCCGGAAGGAGAUUUUGGUCUUGUCCUCACUAUGGGGCCACCAAUUGCAAGUUUUUCAAAUGGAGAGAUAAGCAAAGUGUUGAUGAAAGAUCAAAGUUUAUUAUUCCAAGAUUGGUGAACAAAAUCAAAGAGUUAGAAGAAAAUUACGAGCGUGUUAGGUUGCAUUUGGCUGAACUUGAAAGUUUUAAGAUGCAGUUUGAUAAUCUCAACAUGAAUUCACUUGAACUUGAAGAUUCAAAAGAGGAUGAAAUUCAGUUGGAUGAGCUUGAAAGUCUUACCCUUCAAUAUGAUAAUCUCAACAUCAAUUUGGUUGAGCUUGAAGAUUCAAAAGAGAUAGGUGAUUUGAAUGAGGUUGAAGUUUCAAAAGAGGAGACGAAUGAUUUGGAUGAGCUUGGAGAUUCAAAAGAGAAGAGUAAUUUGAAAGAGAAUGAUAUGAAUGAAAAAAAGAA
Lycium ferocissimum is the source of this 492-nucleotide long non-coding RNA. RefSeq lists it as uncharacterized. Lineage: Eukaryota; Viridiplantae; Streptophyta; Magnoliopsida; Solanales; Solanaceae. The transcript is spliced from 2 exons. The record is from RefSeq and is a predicted model, not a curated record.